Molecule: transfer-messenger RNA, 395 nt
Filed under: Paludibacteraceae
Lineage: Bacteria; Pseudomonadati; Bacteroidota; Bacteroidia; Bacteroidales
Also listed under: 2 other names
Description: UBA1723 sp002317115 Standard tmRNA
Rfam family: transfer-messenger RNA
About the family: Bacterial tmRNA, also known as 10Sa RNA or SsrA, is named for its dual tRNA and mRNA-like properties.
Source: RNAcentral
GGGGAUGACCGGUUUUGACAGCGGGCAGAAGCGGUAUGUAAGCAUGCAGUGCGCUGGUGGCUAGCACUAUAAUCUUGAGACCAAAAAUUUAACUGGCGAGAAUAACUAUGCUCUUGCAGCCUAACCGAAGUACAGUAAGUUAGCUUUAUCGCGGUCAAGAUGACUGCGACAAGACGUCUCCCCAAGCCCAAGUCCUGAGGCGAUUGGAUUAGCGAGGCGCAGAAUAUCGGGAAUAGUGUCGUUAGAGUCUGGAUGACGGCAUGAAAUUUACAGACUAAGGUGCUGGUUGGUGGUCCAGGUCUUGCCAACACCCGACAAUGAAGGCUGGAAUAAGCAUGUAGAAAGCAUAUUGAUUCCUCGUUUGGACGAGGGUUCGACCCCCUCCAUCUCCACUU